UACGUAGGGGGCAAGCGUUGUCCGGAAUUAUUGGGCGUAAAGCGCGCGCAGGCGGUUUACUUAAGUCUGAUGUGAAAUCUCGGGGCUCAACCCCGUGCGGCCAUUGGAAACUGGGAGACUUGAGUACAGAAGAGGAGAGUGGAAUUCCCCGUGUAGCGGUGAAAUGCGUAGAUAUGCGGAGGAACACCAGUGGCGAAGGCGACUCUCUGGUCUGUAACUGACGCUGAGGCGCGAAAGCGUGGGGAGCAAACAGG
This 254-nucleotide unclassified non-coding RNA is filed under the name uncultured Bacillaceae bacterium. RNAcentral describes it as "contains 16S-23S intergenic spacer region". It matches the Rfam family "Bacterial small subunit ribosomal RNA", at positions 524 to 776 of the family's 1533-position model. The record is from RNAcentral. Lineage: Bacteria; Bacillati; Bacillota; Bacilli; Caryophanales; Bacillaceae.